This 76-nucleotide transfer RNA is filed under the name Planctomycetota bacterium. RNAcentral's name for it is "tRNA-Ala". It matches the Rfam family "tRNA". From Rfam's summary of the family: Transfer RNA (tRNA) molecules are approximately 80 nucleotides in length. Their secondary structure includes four short double-helical elements and three loops (D, anti-codon, and T loops). The record is from RNAcentral. RNAcentral also lists the same sequence under 1 other name. Lineage: Bacteria; Pseudomonadati; Planctomycetota.
GGGGACGUAGCUCAGUUGGGAGAGCGCUGGCUUUGCAAGCCAGAGGUCAGGGUUUCAAAUCCCCUCGUCUCCACCA